UUGGCAUUUCUUGGCUGUGGUUCAUUGCUGGCUGGAAGUCAUCCAGCCCCUGCAGAGUCACUUUGCAAUACUGUGCCAGCAAGUUUCCAUGCUCUGCAGCAGUGGUUACAAUGAGACCAGCAUGGUCCUAUAGGACUGACCUGAAAUGUUUCACACACACACACAAAAAUCCCUCUUAAUGAAGGAAACUUAGAUCAAUGGUUUUGAAAUGAGGAAGGAUAUAUCACUUCACAACAAACCACCAGUGGUGUGCACAAACAAAACCAGAAGGAAUAGAGACUUAACACUACCAAAAGACUACUGGGAAAAAAAAAAAAGUUUGAGAAAAGCAAUAGACAUUAAGGUAUAAUCAUAAUGGAGGACAAGAAGAAAUGAAGAGCCAUCUCCUGUUACCUAAUUACCCAGGAAGUCUCUAAGCUAAGGCCUCCAGCCCCAUCCUAUGCUACCACAUCCUUCCCACUUGAGAAGAAUCCCUCACUGACAGCUCUUCUGUAACAGGUGCAGAACAUUGCUGCAUCCAGUUCCCCAGUGAAAACAUCGAGAUCAGUCAAACCCCCAAGCUAUAGCUGGGAUACACAGAAGGAUAAGUACAUAUAAGUAUUAUUUUGUUACAUAUUCUCUUAACCUUUGCUUGCUGGCCUGAAACAUUUCCUUUGCUGUCUGAUUUUGCAGACAUUUACACACUUGUCUUGCUUGUGGUUUUACCCAUGGACAGGUCUCUCCCGGAGUUUCCAUACAGUCAGGAGCUGCAUUUGUGGUCAGGAUCUUGUCCUCAGUCUUCAUCUGAGCUCUGCCACAUGUCCCUGGCCAUGAACUUUGAGGUUCACGGUGACCCAGAUCCUGAACUUGCAUUCCUGGCUUGACCUCAGACUGACCACUUUGCCGUGGACAUCUCUGGUGAUCUGGACUAUUGUUAACCCUGCUUACCAUCACUGGACAUGAGUCUUCCCUGUCACUGAGCCUAAUCUUGCACUGGUGCUACACUCCAUCAGUGAAACCAGCGACACCCAUCAAUCUUGCUGCCACCCUCAGCUCCUGGCUCACCUUUCCUUAUGGAGAAAAGGGAGCAGCCACCCACCAUUGC
Anas platyrhynchos (mallard) is the source of this 1084-nucleotide non-coding RNA. The record is from RefSeq and is a predicted model, not a curated record. NCBI's taxonomy places the organism in Eukaryota, Metazoa, Chordata, Aves, Anseriformes, Anatidae.